GAUGAAGAACGCAGCGAAAUGCGAUAAGUAAUGUGAAUUGCAGAAUUCAGUGAAUCAUCGAAUCUUUGAACGCACAUUGCGCCCCUUGGUAUUCCGGGGGGCAUGCCUGUUCGAGCGUCAUUAUAACCCCUCAAGCUCAGCUUGGUGUUGGGGCCUGCCAACUGGCAGCCCUUAAAAUCAGUGGCGGCGCCAUCUGGCUCUAAGCGUAGUAAUUUCUCUCGCUAUAGGGUCCCGGUGGAUGCUUGCCAACAACCCCCAAUUUUCUAUGGUUGACCUCGGAUCAGGUAGGAAUACCCGCUGAACUUAAGCAUAUCAAUAAGCGGAGGA
RNAcentral lists this unclassified non-coding RNA (327 nucleotides) under soil metagenome. Its description in RNAcentral is "partial contains 5.8S ribosomal RNA, internal transcribed spacer 2, and large subunit ribosomal RNA". The stretch from base 1 to 120 matches the Rfam family "5.8S ribosomal RNA", at positions 35 to 154 of the family's 154-position model. The record is from RNAcentral.